GUGAAUCAUCGAAUUUUUGAACGCAAAUUGCACUCUCUUCGAAUAGUAUGCCUAUUUGAGGGUCAGUAUUAGUAAAAAUCUGUGUGUUUCUUCUUUGUGACGCUCCGGGGUUUGGGUCAUCUUAAUAUCCUUUAGGUUUUAAGAGACUUAAAAUUGACUUUUUUUGCGCAUUUUAGAUGGACAUAGAUUCUUUUUUUUAUUCGUCUAUC
RNAcentral lists this unclassified non-coding RNA (209 nucleotides) under Rhizophagus sp. (in: glomeromycetes). Its description in RNAcentral is "partial contains 5.8S ribosomal RNA and internal transcribed spacer 2". The record is from RNAcentral. Lineage: Eukaryota; Fungi; Glomeromycota; Glomeromycetes; Glomerales; Glomeraceae.